GCAUGGAUCGGCAUGGCGUCCAUUAGUAGUUAUAAAUGAACUUCCAGUUAAAAUUUAAAAAACAAACAAACAAAGUCUUGAUUAUAGUUUUUGGCAAAUAUUUUCCAUAUAGACUAAGCUAUCUUCAGUUUUAGAUGACACAGUAGCUGAACAAGAAAAGAAAAGAUUAAUACACUUAAAUGAUGAAUAAAGUCCUGACGACAUACACCUCCUCGAACUUUUUAUUCUUACAAUGGAAAACUGACGACCAUAUCGGUUUGGUCAUAGGAAUGAUAACAACUGUCGUUUUGGGCGUUUUAUUCGAAAGUCUACAUUUAAUCGAAUCAAAACUACAAAAAGAAGAAACGUCAGACAGCAAAAGAACUGUUAAAAUGGCAAAGUGUGCUUUUGUUGGUAAAAGAACAGCUAUUCACAUGACUCGCGUUGUAUUGGGAUACAUUCUGAUGUUAUGUGUAAUGACAAUGAAUGUCUGGAUAAUUGGUUCUGUCGUUUUGGGAUAUGCUAUUGGAUAUUUUUUGUUACGUCCCUGGACAUAUACAAGAAAUUCAACACGUAAUACUAAAUUUAAAAUACCAAAUGGACUAACUGAACAAUCUGAUAAGCUUCUUACAAAGGAGUCAGUUGUUUAAAAUGAUGGCUGAUAAAAUUUCAGUUUUUUUAAACAACUAUAAUGUAAGAGUGUACAAUGGUGUUUUUCUGUUUUGUUUUAUAACGAUUUUAUCUUUGAAAACAUCAGAUAAUUACAUAACCGAUUGUAAAAUCACUGAUUUUAAUGAUAACGGGUGUUACUCCUUAUUUAAAGUGUUCAUGACUAAGGAACAUUGUUUUACGUGAAAUACUAGUUUUCGUGGUUUUCCAUGUAUUUAUAGGAUUCAACAAAGUACAAGGUUUUUUUAUAGGCGUGUGUGCAGAGUUUGUCAAAACAAUGUUAUACAAUCCAUGAAAAUCGAUAUCAAAUUCAAAGGUAUAUAGAAUCAAAGUACUGAACAUCGGAUGACCGCAAGUUCUUGUGGGUGGUCAAAAGCACUUGUCACAGAAAAAAAAAUCACAUCUCUAUACCUGAAACUGAGGUUAAUGUACAGAGAUAUAUUUUUUUCUGAGACAAGUUCGUGCGUGGAUGAUGAAUAAAUGACAUGAAAUUCAACCUCACCGUAAUAACUAUCAUAUUGUAGUGAUACAAAUCAGUAUACACUGGUUUGUUGUUAUAUAUUAUAUUAAUAUAACAGUUACAUGUAUAUAUAAUUUUCAUUCAUUUGUAUAUCAUUCUAUUCUACUAUUCUAAUAAUAGUGCAGUGCAAGUGCAUGGUGGACACUCUUCUGUAAAAAUUCGAUUUUUCUAAAAGAUUGGAUAUGAGGAGGCAUUCAUAUUUUCCCGCAAAAACAAUUACGGAGUUACCGGUCUUUGCCGGGAUUGUCGCUAAACGUUCUUGAGAUAUUCUUCCGCAUGCUUUAACACAAUUUUUAGGUACGUGUGCAUAGAUAUUAUCAAUGAUUUUUUACUUAUAUAUAUAUAUAUCUAACGACAAAACAUUUUCAUAUUAUUAAUUUAUGUUCUAAACAAAAAUAUUUUUAUCAGUAUUCAUUGAAGAGAUGUAUUUAUAACAAAAUUAGUCCAUAUAUUGUAAAUCAUCGUUUAUUAAACUAUAGUACUGUACUGUACUAUCAUA
This is a long non-coding RNA of Mytilus californianus (California mussel), 1667 nucleotides long. RefSeq lists it as uncharacterized. NCBI's taxonomy places the organism in Eukaryota, Metazoa, Mollusca, Bivalvia, Mytilida, Mytilidae. The transcript is spliced from 5 exons. The record is from RefSeq and is a predicted model, not a curated record.